This 1438-nucleotide ribosomal RNA is filed under the name uncultured bacterium. RNAcentral's name for it is "16S ribosomal RNA". It matches the Rfam family "Bacterial small subunit ribosomal RNA". The record is from RNAcentral.
UUAGAGUUUGAUCCUGGCUCAGAACGUACGCUGGCGGCACGCCUAAUACAUGCAAGUCGAACGAAGUAGCAAUACUUAGUGGCAGACGGGUGAGUAACAUGUAGGUAUCUACCCUUUGGCCUGGAAUAACACGAGGAAACUUGUGCUAAUACCGGAUAAGUCUUUACGGAGAAAGCUUUAUGCACCAUUGGAUGAGCCUGCACUUGAUUAGUUUGUUGGUGGGGUAAUGGCCUACCAAGACAAUGAUCAAUAGCUGAUUUGAGAGGAUGAUCAGCCACAUUGGGACUGAGACACGGCCCAAACUCCUACGGGAGGCAGCAGUAGGGAAUCUUGCACAAUGGAGGAAACUCUGAUGCAGCGAUGCCGCGUGAGUGAAGAAGGCCUUUGGGUUGUAAAGCUCUUUCGUCGGGGAAGAAAAUGACUGUACCCGAAUAAGAAGGUCCGGCUAACUUCGUGCCAGCAGCCGCGGUAAUACGAAGGGACCUAGCGUAGUUCGGAAUUACUGGGCUUAAAGAGUUCGUAGGUGGUUAAAAAAGUUGGUGGUGAAAUCCCAGAGCUUAACUCUGGAACUGCCAUCAAAACUUUUUAGCUAGAGUAUGAUAGAGGAAAGCAGAAUUUCUAGUGUAGAGGUGAAAUUCGUAGAUAUUAGAAAGAAUACCGAUUGCGAAGGCAGCUUUCUGGAUCAUUACUGACACUGAGGAACGAAAGCAUGGGUAGCGAAGAGGAUUAGAUACCCUCGUAGUCCAUGCCGUAAACGAUGUGUGUUAGACGUUGGAAAUUUAUUUUCAGUGUCGCAGCGAAAGCGAUAAACACACCGCCUGGGGAGUACGACCGCAAGGUUAAAACUCAAAUGAAUUGACGGGGACCCGCACAAGUAGUGGAGCAUGUGGUUUAAUUCGAAGAUACGCGCAGAACCUUACCAACACUUGACAUGUUCGUCGCGACUCUAAGAGAUUAGAGUUUUCGGUUCGGCCGGACGAAACACAGGUGCUGCAUGGCUGUCGUCAGCUCGUGUCGUGAGAUGUUGGGUUAAGUCCCGCAACGAGCGCAACCCUUACUUUUAGUUGCCAUCAUUUAGUUGGGCACUCUGAGAGAACUGCCAGUGAUAAGCUGGAGGAAGGUGGGGAUGACGUCAAGUCCUCAUGGCCCUUAUGUGUUGGGCUACACACGUGCUACAAUGGUAUCUACAACAGGAAGCAAGAUGGCAACAUUAAGCAAAUCCCAAAAAGAUACCUCAGUUCGGAUUGCACUCUGCAACUCGAGUGCAUGAAGCUGGAAUUACUAGUAAUCGUGGAUCAGCGUGCCACGGUGAAUACGUUCCCGGGUCUUGUACACACCGCCCGUCACACCAUGGGAGUUGGUUCUACCUUAAGGCAAAGUUUAAAACCUUUGACCACGGUAUAGUCAGCGACUGGGGUGAAGUCGUAACAAGGUAACC